RNAcentral lists this transfer RNA (62 nucleotides) under Prolachesilla sp. PrspLA. RNAcentral describes it as "tRNA-Phe". Lineage: Eukaryota; Metazoa; Arthropoda; Insecta; Psocodea; Lachesillidae. The record is from RNAcentral.
AUUUACAUAGCUUAUAUGAGAGUAUAGUAUUGAAGCUGCUAGGGAAAUUUUUUUUGUAAAUA